GUCUGUGUGGUGCCCCUGGGCUUCCUGGUGGACUUUCCAGUUAGGAGCUGCUGGCUCAGGGAGAGAGGGAUGCUGAGCUGCAGGUGGGGCAGGCCCUGCUGGGUCAGCACCUGCCUCUGCAGGGGAGGAGGCCUGGGAACUAAGGGGGAGAAAGGUUGUGUGUGAGCCUGGUGCCCAGUGUGGUAGGAGCAGGAGCCGCUCUCUCUGGGAGGCCACUACUGUCCCUGGAGGAGGGGGCACUGGGCUUCAUUUCCUUGUCUUGACCUGGAAUCCUGCAGCCCUUUCACUCCCUUCUGUGGUGGAAACAGAGACAGGUGACGCUGCUGAUGGAGACGCAGAGGAGCCUGAUGAGGGCAGGAAAAUGGGAUGGGAGGGAGAAAAAGUCAGGGCAUUUACUUCCCUCAGAGAAGGGCCAAAUCUGAUUUGAACUGAGGAGACAGAGAGAUCCCAAUGGCAUAGAGCAAUAUUCUACGACCAAUUGAACACUGACUCAUUUCCCUCCUUCCCCAGAACUCGUGAGCUUAAAAGUCCUGGAUCAGCAGCAGAGGGCACCAAGUGACCACACUGGAUCCACACAGCUGGGGUGUCAGCCUCUGCUGAGAGCUCCUGAGGCUUCUUAGGAAGUACAGAGGGUGCAGCCCUGAACUGACCAGCACUUUCCCUCUUGGUGCCUUGGUUACCUCAUCGCUGCAAUAUGGAC
RNAcentral lists this long non-coding RNA (700 nucleotides) under Marmota monax (woodchuck). Lineage: Eukaryota; Metazoa; Chordata; Mammalia; Rodentia; Sciuridae. The record is from RNAcentral.